AUAGUUACAAAUUACAAUGUUUCACCAAUUAAUUAAAUAUGUAUCUAUUAUUAAUUUAACCAAUUGUAAAAAGUAGAAUUAUCCUUAUCCUUAUCUACACACACACACACACACACACACACUUCCUCUUCAACACUAAUUUUCAGUUGCUCUCUCGCCACCUCCUUCACAGACCACCAUAAUAUCGAAAUAGGCCGAGACGUCGGAAGCAGAAGAAGAACAAUAAGGCAUCAUAAGCUUUAGCUGCUAGAGAUGAUAGCGACACUGCAGUUGAGGAUAGGUGUUUUUUAAAAAACCAGAAACACUUCUUGAUUUCUUUUAAAUCAUAUCUAAAUCCCUCUUCAUCUAUGUAACCCACUAUUGAAAUGGAUAGCUUAGCAGUAAACCGCUUUAUGGAAUUGAAAGAAGAAGAAACCCAUAAGAAAUUGGGAGAUGGAGCAAAAGGGACAGCAUGAACAGGAUGAAAUGACAGUGAAAUACCUGAUAAAGAGUACAUGGAGGCUGAUUUUGAUUCUAAAGCUAGGGCUGAACUCGAUUUUGACUCCAAAGUUAAGGUAUGUUUAUGCGUGUGCAUGUG
Molecule: long non-coding RNA, 577 nt
Filed under: Olea europaea subsp. europaea
Lineage: Eukaryota; Viridiplantae; Streptophyta; Magnoliopsida; Lamiales; Oleaceae
Source: RNAcentral